UCGUGGAUUCUUGAUCAGUUCCCCAAGUGGUUUCCCAUUGAUCGUGAAACUUAUCUGGACCGUCUUUCUCUAAGGUACAUAAUCUAAUGUCCAAAACCAAGAUCAACAAAACUGAAAGGUUUAUUACAGCUGCAUAUAUGAUCAAAUUGCAGUCAAACAAAUACAACGAAAUUGAUAAAUUCUUGAUGCAGGUAUGAGAGGGAAGGUGAACCAAACCUGCUGUGUCCGGUAGAUAUCUUUGUCAGUACUGUGGAUCCCUUGAAGGAACCUCCUCUGGUUACAGCCAAUACGGUUCUAUCUAUUUUAGCAAUGGACUACCCAGUUAACAAAAUCUCAUGUUACAUAUCUGAUGAUGGUGCUUCAAUGCUUACCUUUGAAGCGCUAUCAGAAACAGCAGAAUUUGCUCGGAAGUGGG
This 415-nucleotide long non-coding RNA is filed under the name Daucus carota (carrot). RNAcentral's name for it is "long non-coding RNA (DCAR_LNC003939)". Lineage: Eukaryota; Viridiplantae; Streptophyta; Magnoliopsida; Apiales; Apiaceae. The record is from RNAcentral.